UAGGGAAUCUUCGGCAAUGGACGCAAGUCUGACCGAGCAACGCCGCGUGAGUGAAGAAGGUUUUCGGAUCGUAAAGCUCUGUUGUUAGAGAAGAACGUUGGUAGGAGUGGAAAAUCUACCAAGUGACGGUAACUAACCAGAAAGGGACGGCUAACUACGUGCCAGCAGCCGCGGUAAUACGUAGGUCCCGAGCGUUGUCCGGAUUUAUUGGGAGUAAAGCGAGUGCAGGCGGUUCUUUAAGUCUGAAGUUAAAGGCAGUGGCUUAACCAGUGUACGCUUUGGAAACUGGAGGACUUGAGUGCAGAAGGGGGGAGUGGAAUUCCAUUUGUAGCGGUGAAAUGCGUAGAUAUAUGGAGGAACACCGGUGGCGAAAGCGGCUCUCUGGUCUGUAACUGACGCUGAGGCUCGAAAGCGUGGGGAGCAAACAGG
RNAcentral lists this ribosomal RNA (429 nucleotides) under Bacillota bacterium. RNAcentral describes it as "Firmicutes bacterium partial 16S ribosomal RNA". It matches the Rfam family "Bacterial small subunit ribosomal RNA", at positions 355 to 776 of the family's 1533-position model. The record is from RNAcentral. Lineage: Bacteria; Bacillati; Bacillota.